RNAcentral lists this ribosomal RNA (206 nucleotides) under uncultured bacterium. Its description in RNAcentral is "partial 16S ribosomal RNA". It matches the Rfam family "Bacterial small subunit ribosomal RNA", at positions 524 to 729 of the family's 1533-position model. The record is from RNAcentral.
GACGAACCGUCCAAACGUUAUUCGGAAUCACUGGGCUUACAGAGUUCGUAGGCGGUCUGGAAAGUUGGGUGUGAAAUCCCUCGGCUCAACCGAGGAACUGCGCUUGAAACUACCAGACUCGAGGGAGAUAGAGGAAAGCGGAACUGAUGGUGGAGCGGUGAAAUGCGUUGAUAUCAUCAGGAACACCGGUGGCGAAGGCGGCUUUC